UUUCCCUCCAAUCCGUCCAGAACUAUCACCACCCACUCAACCCUUCUCUUGUUUCUGCCCUCACCGUCGUCGUCCAGCCAGCAGUCACUGCCAGUCUCAUCUCAUCUACGGGCGUCGUUCCUAGGCUCGCUCUCCCCGUCUCCUCUUCUCUCUUCUCUCUUCUCUCUUUUCUCUUCUCUCUUCUCUCUCCGAUUCGUCGUCAGCACCGUGGUGCUCGAUCUUCCCCUUCAUCCUCCACUUCCAGAGUUCCAAUGGAACCUCAGUCUCAGUUGCAUAACUUGAUUGUCAAAGAGUAGCAAUCUGCAUUAAUGCUAAACUUUUGAAGAGCAAUUCAUAUAGGAACAAGGUUCCUAGAGGUUUACCUAUUUAUAAGACUCCUUGUAGCAGCAGAUACAUGAUCCAAGAAACGAACCAAGUUCCAUGAAGAGCUAUGGCAUUUCAGCUUGAGGAUACAUUACAUUAUCACAAGCCUUCUACUGAUAUUUAAGGGCAUUCUUAUAGUUGCAUAUUCAAACCCAGAUGUCCAAUCAGAAAUAUAAUUAGAACUGUAUUCCCUUAUGUAAUGUUAUGGUUUUUGUAAGUUUCACUGCUAUGAAAAACAAUGUAGUUUGACCGAAUCACACCAGAAUGUAAAUAAAAAUGUACUAUAUUCUUUCUGAAAA
Non-coding RNA from Arachis ipaensis, 662 nucleotides. Lineage: Eukaryota; Viridiplantae; Streptophyta; Magnoliopsida; Fabales; Fabaceae. The record is from RefSeq and is a predicted model, not a curated record.